CUUCACCGAGCCCAGCAGCAGCUCGUGCGCGCGGUCGCGGCCGUAGGUGGCCAGCAGCGCCUGGGCCUC
This 69-nucleotide antisense RNA is filed under the name Actinokineospora bangkokensis. RNAcentral's name for it is "ASpks TB sRNA". It matches the Rfam family "ASpks TB sRNA". The record is from Rfam by way of RNAcentral. Lineage: Bacteria; Bacillati; Actinomycetota; Actinomycetes; Pseudonocardiales; Pseudonocardiaceae.